CCUACGGGCGGCUGCAGUGAGGAAUAUUGGUCAAUGGGCGAGAGCCUGAACCAGCCAUGCCGCGUGCAGGAAGACGGCCCUACGGGUUGUAAACUGCUUUUGUGUGGGAAGAAAACGUUCUACGUGUAGGACACUGACGGUACCAUAUGAAUAAGCAUCGGCUAACUCCGUGCCAGCAGCCGCGGUAAUACGGAGGAUGCGAGCGUUAUUCGGAUUUAUUAGGUUUAAGGGGGACGUAGACGUAAGUGUUGAAAUCUCAGAGCUUAACUCUGAAACUGCCAUAGAUACUGGUUGUCUUGAGUACAGUUGAAGUAGGCGGAAUGUGUAAUGUAGCGGUGAAAUGCUUAGAUAUUACACAGAACACCGAUUGCGAAGGCAGCUUGCUAAGCUGUUACUGACGCUGAUGCACGAAAGCGUGGGGAGCGAACAGGAUUAGAUACCCUAGUAGUC
Molecule: ribosomal RNA, 450 nt
Filed under: uncultured bacterium
Lineage: Bacteria
Description: partial 16S ribosomal RNA
Rfam family: Bacterial small subunit ribosomal RNA
Source: RNAcentral